UACAGAGGGUGCGAGCGUUGUUCGGAAUUACUGGGCGUAAAGCGCGCGUAGGUGGUCCUUUAAGUCUGUCUGUGAAAUUCCGGGGCUCAACCCCGGGGCCGCAGGGGAUACUGGAGGACUGGAGACACGUAGAGGCCGGUGGAAUUUCGGGUGUAGCGGUGGAAUGCGUAGAGAUCCGAAAGAGCACCUGUGGCGAAGGCGGCCGGCUGGGCGUGAUCUGACACUGAGGCGCGAAAGCGUGGGGAGCGAACAGG
Molecule: unclassified non-coding RNA, 254 nt
Filed under: uncultured Gemmatimonadota bacterium
Lineage: Bacteria; Pseudomonadati; Gemmatimonadota
Description: uncultured Gemmatimonadetes bacterium contains 16S-23S intergenic spacer region
Rfam family: Bacterial small subunit ribosomal RNA
Source: RNAcentral